This 395-nucleotide long non-coding RNA is filed under the name Marmota monax (woodchuck). The record is from RNAcentral. Lineage: Eukaryota; Metazoa; Chordata; Mammalia; Rodentia; Sciuridae.
CUCCUUUUGGAGUGCUUUAGGGGCGUGGAUUAUCAUUUAUUUUUUAUUAAUUAAUUAAACAUUUCCUCGUUCCCCGUUUCACACCAAAGUUGGGUGAUACUAUUUACGCUCGCCCGUGGGUGAAGGCUGUAAGCUGAUGGGAGUCUGUGUAGUAUGAAGCGGAAAUACAAGUUAGAGCAGGCAAGGAAAUGUUUUUUUUUGUUUAAUUUUGUUUCCACUCCUACUUCCCUCAGAUUGAACUUUUUUUUCUUUUCUUUCUUUCUUUUUUCUUUGUGCUAGGUAUUGAACCCAGGCCCUUGUGCAUGCCAGGCAAGCACUCUACCAACUGAGCUGUACCCCCAGUCCAAGAUUGAACUUUUUUAAAGUGAAGGAAUUAGCAAAAUUUUUGGCAGUUG